Molecule: ribosomal RNA, 267 nt
Filed under: uncultured bacterium
Lineage: Bacteria
Description: partial 16S ribosomal RNA
Rfam family: Bacterial small subunit ribosomal RNA
Source: RNAcentral
CGUAAACAGAGGGAAGCGAGCCUGCGAGGGGGAGCGAAUCCCAAAAAUAACGUCCCAAUUCGGAUUGUAGUCUGCAACCCGACUACAUGAAGCUGGAAUCGCUAGUAAUCGCGGAUCAGAAUGCCGCGGUGAAUACGUUCCCGGGUCUUGUACACACCGCCCGUCACACCAUGGGAGUCGGAAAUGCCCGAAGUCUGUGACCCAACCUACGGGAGGGAGCAGCCGAAGGCAGGUCGGAUGACUGGGGUGAAGUCGUAACAAGGUACC